GGCUUUAUAGUCAUGUAUAUAUGAUAUUAGACUGCAAUUCUAAAGGAGUAAUAAUUUACUAAGGCUU
This 67-nucleotide transfer RNA is filed under the name Poecilobothrus nobilitatus. Its description in RNAcentral is "tRNA-Cys". Lineage: Eukaryota; Metazoa; Arthropoda; Insecta; Diptera; Dolichopodidae. The record is from RNAcentral.